This 253-nucleotide ribosomal RNA is filed under the name uncultured bacterium. RNAcentral's name for it is "partial 16S ribosomal RNA". It matches the Rfam family "Bacterial small subunit ribosomal RNA", at positions 524 to 776 of the family's 1533-position model. The record is from RNAcentral.
GACGUAGGGCGCGAGCGUUGUCCGGAUUUAUUGGGCGUAAAGAGCUCGUAGGCGGCUUGUCGCGUCGACUGUGAAAACCCGCGGCUCAACUGCGGGCCUGCAGUCGAUACGGGCAGGCUAGAGUUCGGUAGGGGAGACUGGAAUUCCUGGUGUAGCGGUGAAAUGCGCAGAUAUCAGGAGGAACACCGGUGGCGAAGGCGAGUCUCUGGACAUUUCCUGACGCUGAGGCACGAAAGCCAGGGGAGCAAACGGG